Molecule: non-coding RNA, 6670 nt
Organism: Cordylochernes scorpioides
Lineage: Eukaryota; Metazoa; Arthropoda; Arachnida; Pseudoscorpiones; Chernetidae
Source: the annotation of a GenBank genome assembly
CCUGCCUAUGGUUACAGCUAAUUGACCAAAUGGGAUGGCCUUCUAGCUCUACUACUGGACUGAAAUGAAUCAGACUGACCGCGACAAAGGGUGCAGGUAACCUGGGAAGAGGUAGCGCCAUCGCAAAGUCCCUCGCGACAACAUCCAGGGAAUCACCAAGCCCGCCACUCGCCGUCCCGCACGCAGGGUCGGUGCGAAGCGCAUCCCUGGUCCCAUCCACGAGAAGACGCGCGGCGCUCCCAAGGCGCCCCUGGAGAAUGUGAUCUGUGCUAAUGCUGCAAGAACACAGGUGAGUAUCCCUGGGUCAGAGGGAAAGAGAGGAAGAGGAUUCAAGUUAAGAAAAGAGAGCAAUUGUGAUAAACAGAGAAGAGGGAGCAAAAGAGAAAAAAAGUAAUAAUAAUAAUAAUAAUAUAAAAAUAAUAAUAAUAAAAUAAAAAUAGUAGUAUAAUUGAAUAAAUAAAAAUAAGAGAUAAGUGAAUUAGAAUAAAUAGGAUGAUAAGAAAAAUAAAAAAAGAAGAAAAAAAAUUGUAAUAAUAAUAAUAAAUUUAAAAAAAAAGGAAAAUAAAAUAAUUAAAAGAAAGAGAAAAUAUUUAGAAGAGCACAGGGUAAAAAUAAUAGGGAUAAAAAAAAGCAAACACAGCGCCUGGGGAUGUUGGUGUAGAAGAAACAAAAAAAAAGGACCUUAUCAAAGGAAUCAGAAAAUUUUUCUUUUGAGGAGAAAGUAAUUUCAGGGUAUAAAUUUUGAAAGUAAUAAAUCGCAUCUUAUGCCAACCAAUGAAAAUGAGCGGCCGUCAAACCACAAAACCCCCGGUUGUGACGUCCAGCGAUUAAUCGACCAAUCAGCGUGCGGCGUCCAAUUUCGCCCGCGGCCCUCUAACCCUUGGGUGAUUAGAGACGGCGCUUGGUGAAAUCCCGUCCGCAAGCCAACUGGCAAAUUAAAAGUUUGACAUCGCAUACAUAGUUCGUGAUACACGCAUAUGCAAGUAACAACGCUGAUGUAAGGUUUAGGUGGAAUUAGAGUCGGAAACCUCCUCUGAUUCCACCUCUCGGAUCCGCGGCCUUAGCCUGUCGCAAGCCAGGAGAAAAUCGAUACAGGCUCGCCAGGUCAAACAAUUGUAGGUGAAGUCGCGGAGCGCCCUCGGCGUGUAACCGAGUUCCCUCCCCGCUAUAAAUAGUAGACGAGUUCUGAGUGAGUCCAGACUGUCACACUCGAGCAUGAUAUGCUCCAGAGUUUCUUCCUCUCCAGAGUCACAGAAAGGGCAGAUUGGAUCAUCAAUAAAUCUAAGUCUGUGAGCAAAGCUGUCUGUCCACGUGUGUCCAGUCAGUAGGCCAAUCACGGCGUGGACACUAAGGAUGAUGUACGCAUGCUUUUUGUCCAAGAGACUCUUUGGAGAAAGACCAAAGCGGGUGAAGAUUGUGCGCUUGGCGGAGAUGAACCUGUCCUGCCAAGCUGCCCACGCCCGCUUGUAGAUUGUCGAUUUAAGUUUCGACAGCGGUGCGAGGCGAUAGCAGCUCAGGAGAUCAGAUUCCGCCCCGCGUUUCGCGAGCACAUCAGCAACCUCAUUACCAAAAAUCCCGCUGUGGCCUUUGAUCCAUUGUAUGGUACAUCUUUUCCCAUUGCGGUUCAGUUGCGAAAUCAGCCACAAAGCCCUGUUGACAAGGAGGUUGCCUGUUCUGGAGUUUAGAACGGAUUUCACAACUGAGAGGUUAUCCAGUAGAACUUCAAUAGUAUAAACGAUAAGGAAGAGUAUUAUACAAUCUAUGGAGAAAGUUUUCAAGUAAUUUUAUUUUACUUCAAUAGUAUAAUUAUCGGGAAGCUUUGAGGCGUCCUCAAGUGCUUUAAUCAAGCCAAGUGCCUCCGCUUGGAAGACAGAACAGUACGGGGACAGGACAAAACUCUCACGCAAUUCAUUCAUGGAGCCAUUCGCACACACUAUAUAUAGGCCUGUGCCAACUCCAGUUUUCGUCUUGGAACUAUCUGUGUAGUAGGUGACGUCAGCCGAAAGAUCAGGAAUAUUAAUGGGAGCGGAGUAAUAGGGAGGAUAGGGAAGUGGGUGAGAGCAGGGAGGAGGCUCGACUGGAAAUUCAGCGUUAACAAAACUGUGCUUUUCAAAGUACAAUUCCGCCUUUGCGUCGACAUCCAGAUCGAGAGGGAGAACGCGAGAAAGAGAGAUGAGAGAGCUGUUGUCAGUUGUUUUAAACGCGCGGCAUGUCCUGAUGAGGAACGGGCGCUGCGCGCUUAAGAGAGUUUUUAACGAGCGUUGUUUAAGAUUGGAAAACCACACCGGAUAAGCGUGAGAAAUGGCUGGAACCACAACCUGUAGAUAGAGCAUCCUCAGGACACGGAAACCAAAGCCAAAAUUGGAGUUGGCAGCUGCUGUCAAACGCGGGAGAAAACCGCGGACUCUGGUGCAAACCUCUACCACAUGCUGGUGGAAGGUGAGACGCUGAUCAAACCUUACUCCCAGCACUUUGAUUGAGUCGCUCCAUUGAAUGGGUUGACCAUUAAUGGUCAGAUCGCAGCUAGGCUUUAGUUGUCUGCCAGAAGGUCUUAGAAGGAGCAUGGCCUGACACUUCUUCACGCUAAGUUCCAGUUUAUGCAGGCCACACCACCUCGUGAUCUCAUUAAUGGCAAGUUGCGCCGCUCCAAGUGUCAAAUUAUAUUGACAAAUAUUUGCAAUCUUAUCAUAUCUUAUCUCAGGUUUUAGUGGAAAGAAUUUGUGUUUUCGUUUGAUUGUGAACAAAUCUCUCCCGCCUUCUCAUUGGACGAAUGUGGCCAUGUUUGUAUAUAAAUGGGGCUAUGGUAUGAGUCGACGCCAGUGUGGUGGAUGAUCUUGUGGGGACACUUAAAGUGUUCUCUGCGUGCUAUAUCCCUGUCUGGCAAUCUCGGCGCAUACCUGUGUAACCCCGGUCCGAUCCCUACCUAAGCAGCAAUAAAGCUAAGUACUGUUUUUUAUUUUAUUUAACAAAUUGUGGUUUAUUAUUUACUUUUUUUUGUGUUGUACUUUUGAGUCCACGAUUUUUCUGUGUUUAAGUUACUCUUACUGUAGGCCCUAAUAUUGUAUUUGUGUGUUAACCCGUACAAAGUAACUUUUGUCACAAGUUGAUUUGCAACUUGGCCCGCCACCACCAUAACAAGAUCGUCGGCGUGGGCCUGCGGGUGAACACAUUUUCUAAAGUUGAGCGUGAGAAGCUCGUCAAAGACAAGGUUCCAAGAAACGGCCCAAGGACUGAGCCCUGCGGGCAGCCCUUGGAGACCUGCCUCGUGACCGUGCAACCAUUCAUUGACAGUCUGACAACGAUUAUUGAGGAAGGAACUAAUUAGAAUAAACAGGUUCUUUGGACAAUCAUUCAUACACAGAGCUCGCAAUAUGCUGGAGUGUAGCACAUUGUCAAAAGCGCCUUUCACAUCAAAGGAAAGAAGAAUAGAGAAUUUUCUAUGCUGAAGCGACCGGGAGAGAUUAUUUUAUAAAUUUAGAAGUGCGGCGACAGUAGAUUUGCAGGGCCUGAAACCGAACUGGUUUGGUUGGGCUUUACACAUCCUCUCAGCUCGCCACGAGAGCCUGGCCAGGAUAAGACGCUCUAGAAUUUUACCUAAGCCUGGCAGCAUCGUGAUGGGCCGAUGAGACGCGAGAAAGUCCUCACCACCUUUUUUGGGAAUUAGUAUUACAUCACCCAGUUUCCAAGGGGUUGGAAAAUGUCCAGUUUCAAAGCACCUAUUAAAAAUCUUUAAAAAGAACUUCGGAAUUUUUUAAAUUAAUUUAACAAUGACAAGAGGUGGCAUACCAUCACUGCCAGGAGCAGAAGUUAAGCGAACCUUAUCCGCAGCCAGUAGCAGCUCUGCUUCUGAGAACGGUGGGUCGUUAUCAGAGGUGGAAUGCGCGGCUUUAGGCAAGUUAACAUGCUCUACAGUUGUAUCGGGCGGGACGCGGCCGAAGUAGUGCUUUAAAACGUGUUCUAGAGUGUCCCGCGGACUCUCAGUGAGAUCAUCGCCAACCAGGAGAGAGGAAAGAGGCUUCCUCUUGGUGGAACCUUUUAUAAAUUUGUAAACGCCGCCCCAGGGGCUAACCUCGCAAAGUGAACAGAUUCUUUUCUAUUCAGCAAGCUUCGCGUGUCUGAUAGAGGUGCGAAAUCUAUUAUAUAAUUUCUUAUAAAAUAUCUUUAACACGCUUCUAACAGGCCCACGAGCUUUUCUCCACGCCCAUUCAGCUUUUUGAGUAGCAUUUAGGAGCGGAUUUAGUUCAGGUUUCCACCAAAUGGGUUUCUUAAAAAAAAAAAAUGGUGAAAGGUUUAGAGGGAAUGGUUUGGAGACACGAGUGAAACACCUCGUAUUUUAGUCAAUUAAUAACUUCAUCAAUUUGAGUUGUGUCACUCGCGUCCAGUAAGGAGGAAAUUCUAAAAAAAAAAAUAUUAAAGUUAGAAAAAAAAAAAAUUCCCAGUCGGCGCGACCAAAGCUGAAGUGUACUUCGCUAAAGUUGUUUAUGUGUAUAUCGUUAUGGCUGUUAGAAGAGAGGGGUUCAAAAUUAACGUUAAACACGAGGCUUUUAUGGUCAGAUAAAGCCUGGUUGAUUGCAUUCCAAUCGGCGAUCCUGUCCGCGAGGCCAGCAGAACAACACGUGACGUCGAUGGAGGAGGACCUCUCGCCCUCCUCCCACGUGAUCGUGCUGUGUUUGUUGACAACAUGGAGCAGGUUAGCGCCAAGGAAGUUAUCGACAUUUUCUCUUUUGGAGCAUUUGUAUUUAAGCAACCGCGCUUUAUUUGACCAUCUAUAGGAUUCAAUAUUAAAGUCGCCGCAAAAAAUCACCUCGUGGAAAUUAAUUGUUUUUAAAGAGUUGUCUAUCCUAUCAAGAAGAGCGUCGGAACAACAUGAUGGUGAAAGAUAAACAGUACACAGAAGGAUUGACAAGUCAUUCACUUCACACAGGACAAAUACAGCAUUCACACAAGACAAGUGAGACAAGUGUAUGAAUUUUAAAUUCGGAUUUGCUAUUAUUACAGCCGCUCCCAAUUUAUUUUCGAUUAUUGGACCGUGACAAACCCUGUCAAGAGGCACAGAUAGUGAUGGUAAAUUGUUUUUGGAAACUGGGAGUUCUUGCAACAAUGGCACAUCCGAUUUUUCCUCGCGACAUUCAUUCAAUAAGGAGUACAAACAAUAUGGAGAGCGUCUUACAUUGGCUUGAACACACUUUAGAACGUUCAUCGCACCAACAAUUUAUUGAAGUUAUCCUGUGCCUCCCGCAUGUGUUUACACGCCAUGGAGUUGGCACUGUGUUUGUCACCACACCUGUGACAUUUCAACACAGUUUUGUUUUCACAGGUUUCGGAAAGAUGUGCACCAGCUCAGUGGCUACAUUUAGCCGCCCUAGUGCACUUCUUUCCGUUGGUGUGGGUUCUGUGACUUAAACUGCCACAGACACCACAUGGAAAGACUCGCUUUGCUCUAGCGAGUCUCAGCGAGAGGAAGUCAAUCGUGAUCCUACCACGCUCGAGCAAGGCAGUCUUCACUUCCUUAUUUACUUCUACUAUCGCGGUGGAGGGGGCACCCUCUUUCCUAAUUAGUUUCACCAUCCUGAUGUCUUCUCUUUUGCUUGAUAAUUUCCGGAUUUCAACAAACUUUGAGUGGUAAUCGACAACCAAGAUGGAACUGGUUCCACUCACCUCCAUGAAAUCUACAGCAAUUUUUUCCCAUGGAAAUUCAGGGAUUUCAUGAGCUAUUCUUGACUCCUCAGGAUUCUUUCUUGAAUAUUCCUGACAUGUUCUGCACUUUUCUACUUGUGUUAUCAUGCCUGGCCAGUAAAAUGCUGAUCUUGCUUUUUCUUUGGAAGCUGCUAUGCCCUGGUGUGAUGAAUGAACAACCUGCAGGAUUUCUUUUCGAAGAGUCGAUGGCACCAUGAUGCAAUUUCCUUUGUAAACAAUUCCGUCACUCACAGGAAUUUCAUCUUGAAAUUGCCAGUAGGGUUUUGCUUCAUCACAGACCAUAGUUUUAUAUUUCGGCCAUCCAUUCUUCGCAUACUCUAUUAGUUGUAUCAAGGUGUGGUCCCCAUGAGUUUCCUUUUGUAGUCUCUUUAUUUUUUCAUCUGUGGUAACCAGCAACAUGUGCACUGAUUCAGUUUGACCUUCUAAAUAGCUUGUGUCCACCUCAUCUUUUAAUGGAUCUCUAGACAGAUGGUCAGCUAUAAACAUGUUUUUCCCUGGUGUAAACUUCAAAGAUAUUUGAAAUCUCAUGAGACGUAAGACCAUUCUUUGCAGUCUUGGGGAAAGCUUUUCUAAAGGUUUCUUAACAAUACUCAGGAGAGGUUUGUGGUCAGUUUCCACAAUAACAUCAUUUCCCCAAAUAUAGUACUGGAAGCGUUCACAUCCAAAGACUAUAGCCAAAAGUUCUUUCUCUAUCUGUGCGUAUUUUCUUUGAGUUGCAUUCAGGCUGAAGGACGCAUACUCAAUUGCUUGUCCCCCUUGCAUGAGCACUGUACCAAUACCAUAUUGGCUUGCAUCAGAUGAAAUGGUGAUUGGCUUGGUUGGGUCAAAAAAUGUCAAUAUUGGAGAAUUCGAAACCAUAUUCUUGAGUUUUUCAAAACAAUCAUUUUCUUCGCCUCCAAAUUUUUUAUUCACUCUUGUUGCUUAUCAAUUUCCUUAGAGGUGCAGUCUUGUCAGACAGAUUAGGAAUAAAUUU